CAGCCGCCGCGGGAAUACGAAGGGUGCAAGCGUUACUCGGAAUUACUGGGCGUAAAGCGUGCGUAGGUGGUGGUUUAAGUCCGUUGUGAAAGCCCUGGGCUCAACCUGGGAAUUGCAGUGGAUACUGGGUCACUAGAGUGUGGUAGAGGAUAGUGGAAUUUCCGGUGUAGCAGUGAAAUGCGUAGAGAUCGGAAGGAACAUCUGUGGCGGAGGCGACUAUCUGGGCCAACACUGACACUGAGGCACGAAAGCGUGGGGAGCAAACAGGAUUAGAUACCCCUGUAGUCCCUGUCUCUUAUAC
This 301-nucleotide ribosomal RNA is filed under the name uncultured bacterium. RNAcentral describes it as "partial 16S ribosomal RNA". It matches the Rfam family "Bacterial small subunit ribosomal RNA", at positions 509 to 807 of the family's 1533-position model. The record is from RNAcentral.